Molecule: ribosomal RNA, 520 nt
Filed under: uncultured bacterium
Lineage: Bacteria
Description: bacterial SSU rRNA
Rfam family: Bacterial small subunit ribosomal RNA
Source: RNAcentral
AGGGUUCGAUCAUGGCUCAGGACAAACGCUGGCGGCGUGCUUAACACAUGCAAGUCAAGGAGAACGUCAUCUUCGGAUGACAAGUAAACUGGCGGACGGGUGAGUAACGCGUAGGCUACCUGCCUUUAAGAUUGGGAUAACGUUUGGAAACGAACGCUAAUACCAUAUAAUAUUCUUUGAAUCAAAGAGGGCUUCGGCUCUUACUUAAAGAUGGGCCUGCGUCUGAUUAGCUAGAUGGUAAGGUAAUGGCUUACCAUGGCAACGAUCAGUAGCUGGUUCGAGAGGAUGAUCAGCCACACUGGGACUGAGAUACGGCCCAGACUCCUACGGGAGGCAGCAGUGGGGAAUUUUGCGCAAUGAGGGAAACCUUGACGCAGCAACGCCGCGUGAUCGAAGAAGCUUCUAGGAGUGUAAAGAUCUGUCAUAGGGGAAGAACUGCAUUUAUUCUAACACAAUAUUUGCUUGACGGUACCCUAUAAGAAAGCUCCGGCUAACUAGGUGCCAGCCGCCGCGGUAAUAC